UAUCGUCAUAGCGUCUGAAGCCUAACUUCGUGUCAAGAUAAAAGUGCUAUCUCAGAUUGUAACAACGUUUUAGCUAAGUAUUAGUCUUUGUGUUCAGUUGGGGAGAAACCGUUUGUUGGUUUAUCAUGGACGACGUCAUACAAGAAGAUGUAGAAUGGACAAACGACCGACGAGAUUCAAAAUCAUGUUACGAGCAUGGGAGCCAUCACUACCAUCCUCUGAGGCAGACGAGCACCGCGUUGGAACGAAAACUGCGACACAACAGAGAGCACCCACCGCACUCCCUUCCUCGCCUGAGCGUCGUGAUGCCAGCCAGCUCCCACUCCAGCAUGGAGCGCAUUCCCAAACCCGCGCGGAGGAAACCGCUCUCACACGGCGAUGAAUCGAUGACCGUGGUCCUGUCAGCAUUUUAUGCUAAAUUAUUAAUAGUAUUAGGAAUAGCGUUGCCUGUAACGAGCACCAUACAAAACGAAGUUUAUACUAAUGUUACAUCUGAUCUAUUCACAAUGUAUUUAUACAUAGUCAGUAUGCUCUUCUUGGGAUACACUUUUUAUCAUCUUCGUAUAGCAAAAAGGGAGAAAGAUGAAAACGUAAAGCGCACCCGCUACGGCAGUUUCUACCUUCACAUGGGGGUGGCAGGGUUCGGAGUAGGUUCCAUCAUCUACUCUUGUCUCCAGUUCGCUGGCUACUUUGACCUGUCAGGCGACUGUCAGCUCGCUAUCGUGGCCAUAAAGCCAGCUCUGAGGAUACUGUACUUGGUUGCACAAACUGUCUUCAUAUUUUCUUAUACUGAUAUAUUGGAUCCCAUGCGAGGGGUGGUGCUCGAUAGAUUCGGGCUCAUGCAUCUUAUAGCAACAAACAUAUGUGAGCUUAACGUCGUCGUUCAGGAGACAAGAGAUGAUAUCAUCGCAAUGGCCUACGAUCGUCCAGCAUUUAUCAGAUAUGCCAACGUCACUGGUCCACCGAAAAUAAUUAUAACGAAUCAUGUGGACAAUGCAACUUAUUUAUCGGAACAAAAGCCAUCCACUAGCACUGAAGACAGUUUUCAAAUUUUACAUUAAGCGUUUUCAACUUUACAACGAAGAAUAUCAACUGGACCUGCAAUGUGUCAGACAUGAUCACUCCUCUCAUUAGGAGCGUGAACCCUUAUUUAAGGCCUUGUGGUGUGGAAUACAGUCUUUUGUGCUCCAUCAUUAUUUUCGUUAUCUGGAACGAUAUCUGUACAGUUCCAGGAUCGAAACCGAUGAAGGAAGUUGCGUCUAUGGUGACUGCUAAAGACCGGCAGUGCUGUGCCCGAGCCAAGUCAAAUAACCAUUUCUCUGUAGAUUGUGGAAGUGCACAUAAGGGCCUGUUUAUGGGCGUCGCAGUCCUGGCUGGAACUAUUGUCAGCCUGAUGCUCUUCAAUGGAUUGUUUCAAAAACAAGAACACAUGAGCUUAGCUUUAUUUCAGAUAAACGUUUGGGAAUCAAUCUUGUUCCUCAUAAUGACAUUAGGAUCGGGGCCUGCAUUCAAAGAAUGAGGACACUGCCACUCAAGCGUGCAGUGUCAACAUUGCCUUUAGAACACUCAUUGCUGCUGGUUACUCAAUGUGGAGUAUACCUAUACUACUUAUUUCAAAUAAUUGGAGCUGGCUUCUAAUACACCAAUACCCUGGAGAAUCACAAGCAACCAGGAUCAUAACGCCCUUAUGUGCUGUUAUUCAAAGUUCAUGCCAAACACUGCUAGUGCUGGACUCUUGGUACAGACGUUGCGCAGGCACGGGCCGACAACGACCGGGUCGGCAACUAGUUACAUUCCUUCUAGUGGGGAACUUCGCUCUGUGGCUUAUCAACAGAGUUAAAAUUCAAGAGCAGAAUUUCAUCCCUCAGAUGGAAUUCUAUGGAGUUUGGGCAUGGACUCUGAUAACACACGUGUCAGUGCCGAUCCUUGUGUGCUACCGAUUUCAAGCAACCGUGUGUUUCUAUGAAAUCUGGAAAAACUCUUACAAACGAACGAGAGAAGCCAACAAUAUUGAUCCAGAUGAGUUAGAAUUAAAAAACCAUCACAGUGCUUAAUGUUAGAAUAAAUAAUACUUUACAAAGAAAAGAUGACUGAAAUAUAUAAAACGAAGUUUUUGUAUUGAA
This is an RNA transcript of Helicoverpa armigera (cotton bollworm), 2123 nucleotides long. It is a transcript of the gene named proton channel OtopLc, with no coding region annotated. The transcript has 11 exons. NCBI's taxonomy places the organism in Eukaryota, Metazoa, Arthropoda, Insecta, Lepidoptera, Noctuidae. The record is from RefSeq and is a predicted model, not a curated record.